GGCGGUCAGUAUUUAAAUUAAGCGUCAGGCCUCCCCGGUGUUUAGUAAACGGCCGCGGUAUUUUGACCGUGCGAAGGUAGCAUAAUCAAUUGUCUAUUAAUUGUAGACUUGUAUGAAUGGUUAGACAUAUCUUAACUUUCUUACAUGCUUAGCUGAAAUUAUAUUUGUGUUAAAAAUGGCACAGCGAUUGUUUGGGACGAGAAGACCCUAUUGAGCUUUACAGAUGAUAUACUUAUUUUGUUUUGCUGGGGCGCAGACUAUUAAAACGUUUAUUUGAUUGAUCCACUAUAUGUGAAUAGAAGAUUAAGUUACUGUAGGGAUAACAGCGUAAUGGAGUCUGAGAGUUCUUAUUGAUGAUUUUGUUUGCGACCUCGAUGUUGAUUUAGGAUUCCCUGAAGAAGAAGAGAGUUUGAUGGGUAGUUUGUUCAACUAUUAAAUUCCUAUG
This 445-nucleotide ribosomal RNA is filed under the name Cryptops doriae. RNAcentral's name for it is "partial 16S ribosomal RNA". It matches the Rfam family "Bacterial large subunit ribosomal RNA", at positions 1885 to 2600 of the family's 2925-position model. Lineage: Eukaryota; Metazoa; Arthropoda; Chilopoda; Scolopendromorpha; Cryptopidae. The record is from RNAcentral.